GAUGAACGCUGGCGGCGUGCCUAAUACAUGCAAGUCGAGCGAACGGACGAGAAGCUUGCUUUUCUGAUGUUAGCGGCGGACGGGUGAGUAACACGUGGAUAACCUACCUAUAAGACUGGGAUCACUUCGGGAAACCGGAGCUAAUACCGGAUAAUAUUUUGAACCGCAUGGUUCAAAAGUGAAAGACGGUCUUGCUGUCACUUAUAGAUGGAUCCGCGCUGCAUUAGCUAGUUGGUAAGGUAACGGCUUACCAAGGCAGCGAUGCAUAGCCGACCUGCGAGGGUGAAGGGCCACACUGGAGCUGGGACACGGUCCAGACUCCUACGGGAGGCAGCAGUAGGGAAUCGUCCGCGAUGGGCGAAAGCCUGACGGAGCAACGCCGCGUGAGUGAUGAGGGGCUUCGGAUCGUAAAACUCUGUUAUUAGGGAAGAACAUAUGUGUAAGUAACUGUGCACAUCGUGACGGUACCUAAUCAGAAAGCCACGGCUAACUACGUG
This 497-nucleotide ribosomal RNA is filed under the name uncultured bacterium. RNAcentral describes it as "partial 16S ribosomal RNA". It matches the Rfam family "Bacterial small subunit ribosomal RNA", at positions 28 to 507 of the family's 1533-position model. The record is from RNAcentral.